Molecule: unclassified non-coding RNA, 343 nt
Filed under: soil metagenome
Description: partial contains 5.8S ribosomal RNA, internal transcribed spacer 2, and large subunit ribosomal RNA
Rfam family: 5.8S ribosomal RNA (bases 1-120)
Source: RNAcentral
GAUGAAGAACGCAGCGAAAUGCGAUAAGUAAUGCGAAUUGCAGAAUUCAGUGAAUCAUCGAAUCUUUGAACGCACAUUGUGCCCGCUAGUAUUCUGGCGGGCAUGCCUGUCCGAGCGUCAUUUCAACCCUCAAGCCCCCGGGCUUGGUGUUGGGGAUCGGCGAGCCUCCGCGCCCGCCGUCCCCUAAAUCUAGUGGCGGUCUCGCUGUAGCUUCCUCUGCGUAGUAGCACACCUCGCACUGGGAAACAGCGCGGCCACGCCGUUAAACCCCCAACUUCUGAACGUUUGACCUCGGAUCAGGUAGGAAUACCCGCUGAACUUAAGCAUAUCAAUAAGCGGAGGA